Molecule: non-coding RNA, 868 nt
Filed under: Trichomonas vaginalis G3
Lineage: Eukaryota; Parabasalia; Trichomonadida; Trichomonadidae
Description: Eukaryotic large subunit ribosomal RNA
Rfam family: Eukaryotic large subunit ribosomal RNA
Source: Rfam by way of RNAcentral
GUCCCAUCCAAGGCUAAAUAACGUGAGGAGACCGAUAGAUUACAAGUAGUGUGAACGAAAGAUGAAAAGAACUCUAAAACAGAGGGUGAAAAGUUCCUGAACUGCUUUAGGGUUAAGGCUAUUUAUAGUACCCGUCUUGAAACACGGAUUAGGGAGUUUAUCUGUAGUGCGAGUCUUUGCACGUUAACUGUAAAGGCGUAGAGAAAGCAACUGGCGUUUGCAUGGCUACUGAGCAUUACUGAUAGGACCCGAAAGGUGGUGAACUUUGCCUGCACAGGUUGAAGUCAGGGGAAACUCUGAUGGAGGACCGUACGGGUUAUUGAUGUGCAAAUCAUUUUUCUGAUGUAGGUAAAGGUGCGAAAGACUCAUCGAACCACCUAAUAGCUGGUUUCCUCCGAAGUUUCCCUCAGGAUAGCUGUAAUGCAUUUAGUUAAGGGGAGUAGAGAUAUGGGUAGAGGUGCAGGGAGCCUUCGGGUUCUCAACUUAUUUCCAAACUUCGAACCUCCUUGUUAGGCAUUUACCUAACUGGAAAUGCUUAAAUGAAUUAGCGUUACAAGUGGGCUCUGACCGGUAAGCGGUCAUGGCGAAAUGGGAUGAACCAUACGUCUGAAUAAGGUGCCGAAAUGUACUAUCACUGAUACCAUAAAGGGAGUCCAUGUAUUUAGACAGCAGGUCGGUGCCCCUAAAAGCAGGUAUCCGCUAAAGAGUGUGUUAAAACUCACCUGCCGAAUACUAGGGCCCCGAAAAUGAAUGGCGCAUAUAGUACUACCGAUCUCAGACAUCAGUUCUAUUGAACUGAGAGUAGGGGGAUGUGGACAUUUUUGUGAAGGUGCAAUGUGAGUUGGACUGGAAGAAUGUCUAUUACAGA